CAGUAGCCACGGUAAAACGAAGGGGGCUAGCGUUGCUCGGAAUUACUGGGCGUAAAGGGAGCGUAGGCGGAUCGUUAAGUUGGGGGUGAAAGCCCGGGGCUCAACCUCGGAACUGCCUUCAAUACUGGCGAUCUUGAGUAUGAGAGAGGUGUGUGGAACUCCGAGUGUAGAGGUGAAAUUCGUAGAUAUUCGGAAGAACACCAGUGGCGAAGGCGACACACUGGCUCAUUACUGACGCUGAGGCUCGAAAGCGUGGGGAGCAAACAGGAUUAGAUACCCCUGUAGUCCCUGUCUCUUAUAC
Molecule: ribosomal RNA, 301 nt
Filed under: uncultured bacterium
Lineage: Bacteria
Description: partial 16S ribosomal RNA
Rfam family: Bacterial small subunit ribosomal RNA
Source: RNAcentral